GAUGAAGAACGCAGCGAAAUGCGAUAAGUAGUGUGAAUUGCAGAAUUCAGUGAAUCAUCGAAUCUUUGAACGCACAUUGCGCCCCUUGGUAUUCCAUGGGGCAUGCCUGUUCGAGCGUCAUUUGUACCCUCAAGCAAUGCUUGGUGUUGGGUGAUUGUCUGCCUACUUGGGCAGACUCGCCUCAAAUUCAUUGGCAGCUGGUAUUCUGGUUUUAAGCGUAGCACAAUUACGUUUUUCUCUAGUAGAGCCCGCGUCCACAAAGCACAUCAUCACGUUUGACCUCGGAUCAGGUAGGGAUACCCGCUGAACUUAAGCAUAUCAAUAAGCGGAGGA
RNAcentral lists this unclassified non-coding RNA (333 nucleotides) under soil metagenome. Its description in RNAcentral is "partial contains 5.8S ribosomal RNA, internal transcribed spacer 2, and large subunit ribosomal RNA". The stretch from base 1 to 120 matches the Rfam family "5.8S ribosomal RNA", at positions 35 to 154 of the family's 154-position model. The record is from RNAcentral.